Molecule: RNA transcript, 2878 nt
Organism: Neltuma alba
Lineage: Eukaryota; Viridiplantae; Streptophyta; Magnoliopsida; Fabales; Fabaceae
Gene name: serine/threonine-protein kinase CTR1
Exons: 18
Source: RefSeq, a predicted model, not a curated record
UGUGCGUUCGUUUUUCCUCACAGGACCAGCCAACCCCACCAAUUGCAAGGCAUCCUUUGUGAGCCCCACACCCUCCAAACACACCGCCCAUCUCUCUCCCAGAAUCUCCCGUUCUCUGUACCCCCAAUUCAGCAAUAAUGGCGUGCGUACUGUGAACUCUUGCUGCUCUUGUUAAGGUAAUUUGGGCUCUCCUCUAUCUGCCACCUGAAUGAUCAGAUUCCAGAGGCUGUGACUUGUUCAACAGAGAACUGCUCCCGUGAGGGAAUCGUCGUCUCCGGUGGCCGUGGUAGGUGGCAGUUUGCGACCGAUGAAUGUUGUUGACGAGUUUGAUUACUGGAAGGGACAGCCGUCUUUCAAGAGUUGGGCCAAGCAAACUGAGGAGAGUUACCAGUUGCAACAGGCUCUGGCGCUUCGUCUUUCAUCGCAGGCUGCCUGUGCGGAUGAUCCCAAUUUCCUGGACCUGGAAUCCAGCUCUUCCUCCAAGUCGGCUGAGGCAGUGUCUCAUCGAUUCUGGGUCAAUGGUUGUUUGCAAUACUCAGACAAAAUUCCAGAUGGAUUUUAUCUUAUCCAUGGGAUGGAUGCAUAUUCAUGGACUAUAAGCACUGAUCUGCAGAAUGUUGGCCUGAUUCCGUCAUUUGAAUCACUGAUGUCAGUUGAACCAUGUGAUGAUUUGUCAGUUAUAGUGGUUGCAAUUGACAAAUCAAGAGAUCCUGGUUUGAGAGAACUGCUAAAUGGCAUAGUUAGUCUUUCUAAUAGCCGGAUUACUAGAAAGGAUUUAAUCGAUCACCUUGCAAAUAUUGUUUGCAGUAGGUUGGGGGGCCAAACCUGGACCGAAGAAAACUUAUCUUCGCGCUGGAAGGAGUGCACUCAAAGUCUAGAAGACAUCCUUCAUUCUGUCAUUCUUCCAAUUGGAAGCUUAACUGUUGGCUUAUGUGUCCACCGAGCAUUGCUCUUUAAGGUAUUAGCUGAUUCAGUGAACCUCCCAUGCCGAAUUGUCAAGGGUUGCAAGUAUUGUAAAAAGGAUGUAGGUGCCUCGUGUUUAGUGCAAAUCAGCCCUGACAGGGAGUAUUUGAUUGAUAUGGUUGGAAGACCAGGGGCUAUGAGCCAGCCCGAUUCUUCCCUGAAUUCUGCAUCUUCAUUAUUAAUUGCUUCACCACUAUGUCAUCCGAAGUUCAAGCCAGUUGAAACUGCUGAAUAUUCAAAGACGUUGGCCCAAUUGUAUUUCAUGGACUGUCAAGGCCUGCAACUUGUAUUUGACUCCAAAUCAGGUGGUGCAGUUGAUCAUAGUGAUGGAAUUGAUCGAAAGCCUACUGAAGCUUUUAAUGCAAACUACGCAGAAGAGUAUGCGUCAUUCAAAAAGGCAAACCAGUCAGUAUUGGAUAAUCAGAGUCACAAGAUUGAUCUUGAUGACGAUGAUCUGGAAAUUUUAUGGAGCGAACUUAUUUUGAAAGAUAAAAUUGGAACAGGUUCAUUUGGAACUGUCCUUCGUGCAGAUUGGCGUGGUUCUGAUGUUGCUGUGAAAAUUCUCAAGGUUCAAGGUUUUGAUGCAGAACGAUAUGAAGAAUUUAGAAAGGAGGUAUCACUCAUGAAACGUCUGCGGCAUCCAAACAUAGUUCUCUUCAUGGGUGCAGUUUUUGAACAACCCAACUUGUCAAUAGUGACAGAAUAUUUAUCAAGAGGAAGCUUGUUUGAACUUCUGCGCAUGCCAGAUGCUAGAUUAGUUCUCAGUGAGAAGCGUCGGUUGAGUAUGGCUUAUGAUGUGGCAAGCGGAAUGAAUUAUCUUCAUCAAAUGAGACCUCCUAUUGUUCAUAGAGAUCUUAAGUCUCCAAAUCUUUUGGUGGACGAUACUUACACGGUCAAGGUAUGUGAUUUUGGUCUCUCACGUACCAAGGCAAACACAUUUCUUUCAUCUAAAACAGCCGCUGGGACGCCUGAGUGGAUGGCGCCAGAAGUGAUUCGUGGUGAACCAUCAAAUGAAAAAUGUGACAUAUUCAGCUUUGGUGUAAUCCUGUGGGAACUAGUGACCCUGCAACAACCUUGGAGAAAUUUAAAUCCGUCUCAGGUUGUUGCAGCCGUUGGUUUCAUGGACAGAAGACUAGAGAUGCCGACCUAUGUGAAUCCCAAAGUGGUUGCCUUGAUUCAACUCUGCUGGGCCGUUGAACCCUCGAGCCGCCCCUCUUUCUCCUAUAUUAUGAACUUUCUGCAGCAAAUGAUUGCCGAUACUCAAGGGUGAACAAGUUCAUGCUGAUCUAUGUCUCUGACUUUAUACAGAAGUAGAACAUCGUUUCAAAAGAAAUAUGUGUGUGUAUGUGUACAUAUAAGAUCAUUUUUUGGUGAUGUCAUUUUGAUGCUCCUGGUUACCUUUAUUGCUCAGUUAAUGGGUAAAUUUUCUGGCGGUAAGGGCACGAGAGACCAUGCUUCAAUUCUUUGUGCAGUCGAAAAUUCUUCCUCCACACAAGUUUCCCGGUGUGCUUGAUGGAGAGGGCUACCAAAACUGAUGCUGGUUCGUUGAUGACAAGAUCCAACUGUAAACGUGAGAAAUGGGUCUGCAGAUACCAGACUUGGCUAGAGAACAUAGGAUUAAGAAACAUUUACGUUUGAGGAUAUUUAGACCAGAGAUGCUUGAGGCUGAGUUGCUUCACCUGUGGCUAAGGCAAAAAGAACUUGAAGGUAUUCUUGAUUCCCAUUUUUUGCAAGAAUAGCUUCUGAACCUGCUACGCACACUUGCAGCUUGUAAACAUUUAUGGUUGCGAGGAUUUGUUGCCUCCAUAGAGGAAAGAUUUCUAUCAUUAAGCUUGGUCAAUAUUGUGAUUGAAGAUUGCUCCUUCCUUCUAAGAAGUGAACUAUAAGCAGAUGUUGAUCAUUCUAGUGCGGUCCA